GCAGUCAGAGAUCAGAGGCUGCACUCAUCAUAGCAGUGGAGCAGGACCAGCUGGGACAGGGUCCUUCUGUGACACCUGCCGCAUCACCAGGCUGUGUGAACAAACUCAGCUGCCAGAACUCACAGAAUAUCAGUAUCAGCACCAAAAACUCACAGGAAAAAUGCUCCAUGUUUAGCUCCACAAACUUCAGACUUGAACAGCAUCACUGGCUCCUGACCAGGACUCCAGCUCCAUGAACCUCAAACUAGAACACCAGCCCACCUUCUCCACA
Molecule: long non-coding RNA, 271 nt
Filed under: Pan troglodytes (chimpanzee)
Lineage: Eukaryota; Metazoa; Chordata; Mammalia; Primates; Hominidae
Description: lincRNA
Source: RNAcentral